AUGGAUGAGAAUGGGACACCAGAUUACAGCGGUGGGGGCUCGGACAUGGACCUGCUCAUGCUCUCAGGGUUUGAUGACCUUGACAGUUUCCCAGAGCUCGGCGCCGGUCCUUCAUUUAGUGACGGUAUCUUGCCGUCUUUCAGUGUUUCACCUGUGCAGCAGGUGACACAUAUCUCACCUUCACCACCUUCUGUGGAUGCUGAGGAGCAAGGUGAUGUUUCCAUUACUGAUGGUAGUGAUUGCUCUGUCAGUUUAGCCUCUAACGAGGUCAUGAACGUUAGCGCUCCCACUGUCCCAAAGACAGUUUAUGGUGGCGUCACCCUGAUGGAGAGGAUGCUCAGGGCAUUGGCCAUGCUUAAAGAAGCAUCAACUGCUGGGCCAGUCCUUGUGCAAGUUUGGAUCCCUGUAAGAAAUGGAGAUCACCAAGUGCUGACCACCUCUGACCAGCCUUUCUUGCUUGAUGAGAGGCUCACAGGGUACAGGGAAGUCUCUAGGCAGUUCACAUUCUCAGCCACAGAAGGACCUGGUCUGUUUCCUGGAUUGCCUGGGCGUGUUUUCAUAUCCGGUAUGCCAGAGUGGACAUCGAACGUGAUGUACUACAACACUUCAGAGUUCUUGAGGGUAGACUAUGCGAUUCGCAAUGAAGUCCGGGGAUCCCUUGCCAUGCCGGUUUUCAACUCAAGUGGCGGCUCUUGCUGUGCUGUGUUGGAAGUAGUCAUGACACAGGAAAAGGAUAACUUUUGCUCAGAGAUGGACAACCUUUCUAAUGCUCUGCAGUCUGUUCAUCUGAGCACUGUGCGAGCAAGGACACAUCCUCAGAGCCUUACUAGGAAUCAGCAAUCAGUAUUGACGGAAAUAUUGGAUGUUCUCCGAGCUGUUUGCCAUACACACAUGCUACCUUUGGCACUUGCAUGGAUUCCAGUUUGCCCCAACAGCAGUUUGAAUGUGUCAGCAGAGUAUGGUGACCAGGCUAUAAAGUUUGGUCUGAGGAACAAAGAUGUCCUUUGCGUUCAAGAAUCUGCCUGUUACAUCAAUGACAUGAGAAUGCAUGAUUUCCUCCGUGCCUGUGCAGAACACCCCCUUGAGAAAGGACAAGGUGUUGCUGGAAAUGCAAUUUUAUCAAAUCAUCCCUUCUUCUCAUCCGAUGUGAGAGAAUAUGAUAUGCAUGAUUAUCCGCUGGCACAUCAUGCCCGUAAGUUUGGUCUUCAUGCUGCUGUUGCUAUCAGGUUGCGUAGCACAUACACUGGCAAUGAUGACUAUGUGCUAGAGUUUUUCCUUCCACUGACAUGCAAAGUUCGUGAAGAACAACAGCUCUUACUUGACGACAUCUCAAUGACCAUGCAAAGAGUAUGCAGUAGUCUGAGAACAGUUUCAGAUGCUGAACUGAAGGAAAACACCACAACAAUGCGAUCAGAAAUAAGAUGCUCGUCGUCUGAUGUUUCUAUUAGUUCAUGUAACCAAAUUGAUGUAUCCAGUGAAGUCAAAAUAAAUGUGCCUUUAGAAAAUCAGAUAAAAAACAGUGUUGAGCAACUGGCGGAUAAAAAAUAUGCCAAGUUUGAACCUGGCACUACAUCUCAAAAUUUUGAAAACUGCAGCUCAACAGGGAAGAAUGUUAGCUUGACUCUCCUUCAGGAAUCUACAUCUGAUGGGCUGAAAAUACGCAGCUCAACGGAGAAGCAUGUUAGCUUGAAAAUCCUUCAGCAAUACUUUGCUGGCAGUUUAAAAGAUGCUGCAAAGAGCAUUGGUGUUUGUCCUACAACACUGAAAAGGAUAUGCCGGCAGCAUGGAAUAUCAAGGUGGCCAUCUCGUAAGAUAAAGAAGGUAAAUCGGUCACUAGAGAAGAUUCAGAAUGUGAUAAGUACUGUACACGAAGUGGAUGGAGUGAUAAAAUAUGAUCCUGCCACUGGAUGUAUUGUUUCAUCUGUUUCCCAUACUGAAGAGCCUUCGAUGAUGAAUGUUGAACAUCGAAGUUCUGAUUCCCUGCCCACUGAAUGCCGUAAGUUCCAACCUGAUUAUGAUGCAUACAAAAGAGAACAUCUAGGCCAAGCUGUACCCCACAAAGCACAGAAUGAGAAAAGGAGCGAAACUCAUAUUAACUUGAAUCCUGGAGGGUUAUCUCGAAAUUCACAUUUUGGUAGAACAUCAAAAGGGUCAGAGUGUCAGGAUGCGUCAAACGAUUCAUAUCUUACAAAAGAAAUGAUCUGUCCUGGCGGUAUGGAGAUGUGGGUUGAGGGAGCUGAGCAAAAGAAUGUAUUGUGGAAUUCUAUUUCUAUGCCUCAGCAAUGGAAAAUUGAGAUAGAAACAGACAAGUCUAAUGCGAUUGUUGAGCAAAGCCUGGCAUCUUCUUCCAGCAUGACAGAUUGCUCCAGUGGCGGUACAUCGAGUGAUGGGACUUUGAAGAAAUGCUUGAAGAGUCGACCAGUAGAUGGAAGCAAUGCGAGCAUAGUUGUGAAGGCCGCUUACAAGGAUGACACUGUAAGGUUGAAAUUACUACCAUCCAUGAAAUACCAGGAUCUGCUUGAAGAAAUCGCAAAGAGGCUGAAGCUAUCAGUUGGCGCAUUUCAGCUCAAGUACAAGGAUGAUGAGGAUGAAUGGGUGAUUUUAGCGAGCGAUGCUGAUCUCCAGGAAUGCCUUGAUGUACUAGACACCACCGGGGCACGCAUCAUGAAAGUUCAAGUACGAGAUGUUCCAUGUGCCACUGGAGCUUCUUCGGGUAGUAGCUUUAUAUCUGGUCAAUAG
Molecule: ribosomal RNA, 2739 nt
Filed under: Triticum aestivum (bread wheat)
Lineage: Eukaryota; Viridiplantae; Streptophyta; Magnoliopsida; Poales; Poaceae
Description: partial small subunit ribosomal RNA
Source: RNAcentral